Regulatory RNA element from Roseburia sp. CAG:18, 153 nucleotides. It matches the Rfam family "Ribosomal protein L10 leader". Rfam says of the family: This family is a putative r-protein leader autoregulatory structure found in B. subtilis and other low-GC Gram-positive bacteria. It is located in the 5' untranslated regions of mRNAs encoding ribosomal proteins L10 and L12 (rplJ-rplL). A Rho-independent transcription terminator structure that is probably involved in regulation is included at the 3' end. The record is from Rfam. Lineage: Bacteria; Bacillati; Bacillota; Clostridia; Lachnospirales; Lachnospiraceae.
UAAUAACAAAGCAUAUUGCCGAAGACAGUAAGGUGCUAUCGCAUAUUGCGACAGCGUAAAGGGAAAUCCACCUACCGAGGGAAUUUUUGAUGAUAAUCGUCAUAAAGAAUGAUACCCCUCUGCUGUAAGGCGGAGGGUUUUUAUUAUACCUCA